RNAcentral lists this transfer RNA (76 nucleotides) under Rickettsiales bacterium. Its description in RNAcentral is "tRNA-Thr". It matches the Rfam family "tRNA". From Rfam's summary of the family: Transfer RNA (tRNA) molecules are approximately 80 nucleotides in length. Their secondary structure includes four short double-helical elements and three loops (D, anti-codon, and T loops). Further hydrogen bonds mediate the characteristic L-shaped molecular structure. tRNAs have two regions of fundamental functional importance: the anti-codon, which is responsible for specific mRNA codon recognition, and the 3' end, to which the tRNAs corresponding amino acid is attached (by aminoacyl-tRNA synthetases). tRNAs cope with the degeneracy of the genetic code in two manners: having more than one tRNA (with a specific anti-codon) for a particular amino acid; and 'wobble' base-pairing, i.e. permitting non-standard base-pairing at the 3rd anti-codon position. The record is from RNAcentral. Lineage: Bacteria; Pseudomonadati; Pseudomonadota; Alphaproteobacteria; Rickettsiales.
GCCGUAAUAGCUCAACUGGUAGAGCAACUGACUUGUAAUCAGUAGGUUCAGGGUUCAAUUCCUUGUUACGGCACCA